UUGAACGCUGGCGGCAUGCUUUACACAUGCAAGUCGAACGGCAGCGCGGGCUUCGGCCUGGCGGCGAGUGGCGAACGGGUGAGUAAUACAUCGGAACGUGCCCAGUAGUGGGGGAUAGCUCGGCGAAAGCCGGAUUAAUACCGCAUACGACCUGAGGGUGAAAGCGGGGGAUCUUCGGACCUCGCGCUAUUGGAGCGGCCGAUGGCAGAUUAGCUAGUUGGUGGGGUAAAGGCCUACCAAGGCGACGAUCUGUAGCUGGUCUGAGAGGACGACCAGCCACACUGGGACUGAGACACGGCCCAGACUCCUACGGGAGGCAGCAGUGGGGAAUUUUGGACAAUGGGCGAAAGCCUGAUCCAGCAAUGCCGCGUGUGUGAUGAAGGCCUUCGGGUUGUAAAGCACUUUUGGCGGGAACGAAAAGGACUGUGCCAAUACCACGGUUCGAUGACGGUACCUGCAGAAUAAGCACCGGCUAACUACGUG
This 483-nucleotide ribosomal RNA is filed under the name uncultured bacterium. Its description in RNAcentral is "partial 16S ribosomal RNA". It matches the Rfam family "Bacterial small subunit ribosomal RNA", at positions 29 to 507 of the family's 1533-position model. The record is from RNAcentral.